This 1765-nucleotide long non-coding RNA is filed under the name Homo sapiens (human). RNAcentral's name for it is "HSALNT0311413". The record is from RNAcentral. Lineage: Eukaryota; Metazoa; Chordata; Mammalia; Primates; Hominidae.
UUUGGUAGAAGCUGUGAUUGAUGUUCCAGUGAAAUAUGUGGAUGGAAAUGCCCAGGAGACAGCUAGAGAUGCCUGGCUAGACCCAAGAGAGUUUGAGCCUGGGAUACAUAUUUCGGAGUCCUUCCCAUAAAGCUAAUAGCUAAAGUCGAUAUGGAAGAGAAGACAGUGAAGAGCAGAGCCUUAGGCAACACCCACAUUCUGGAGAUUUAUUUUAUCAUGUUACCUAGAAUGUUCCUCCAUCUCCUAUUAAGCACCCCUCUCUCAAACUGAAGUUGCAGCUUAAGAAUUACUUGCCUCUUUCCCCACAUUUAUAAUCCCUGCCCCCUGUUGCAGAUGCAGAACAGCAACCCAAGUCCCUUCUGGAAGCAGCCCUCUCCCUCCUGGCAGCUGACAGAAGUCUCUCUGGCCAGGCCGGCCUUUUGGCUGCUCUGCAUAUGGAAGUUCAAUUACUGUCAAUGGGAGGCCCAUCGGCAGGGUGAGGGCAGAAUACACAAUGGAGAUCGGUGUACCAGAUAGGCGCCUAGAUCAAAGAAGAACCCAGAGUUUGUGAAGUCCUUUCAUCCUCCCUGAUGAAAGGGAGAAGCUUACUGCUGUUUUCAUGGCUCUGCAUGCCCGGGGAAAGAGGAAGGCCACAGGAAGGUGACAGCUGAGGCAGGUCUGGCUCCUGGAGGAUGGGACACACAACGUGGGAACCGGCAAGUCACCAGAGUCAUCUCAGCCAAGAUCAACCAAUAGUCAAUUACCAGGAACGUGAGAGAAUUCUGAGACCAGGACUGCUCAGCCACCUCUGCCUAAAAUACCAACACACAGAACAGUAAAGUGAAUGGAUGUUUAUUAUCCUAAGCCACUAUAUUUUGAGAUUGUACCUCAUGCAGCACUAUUAUGACCAUAGGUGACUGAUAUAAAAAGUAAGGAAUUAUGAAUCAUAAGAAAAAGAUGAACCAAGGAAAGAAUCAGCUUUGAAGAGGUGGUAAACUAUGGGAGUUGGGUAUGCUUUUCUGCAAUGAUCUUGUCUUAUUUUCUUUUUUUUUAAAGGAAGGCCUACCUGAAUAAUUCUGUGCAGGAAGAUAAAAGCAAGAUUAGAGUGAGACCUAUUCAGGGAGGUGUCAUUUUGUGAGCAGUUCAUGACCAUACCCAAUAAUCAGGGUCUGUCUACAUAUCUGAAUUUUAAUCCUUACAUAUAUGGCCUUAGAUGAACUAAAAUAAUUAUAAGAAGUUGUGUCAUUGUAGACUUCUAUUAAUAAACAUAUACCUACAUAUAUACAUGUUUAUGCACAAGAAUCAGCCUGUAUAGGCAUAUUUACCUAGGCAUAUUCAUUGCAUAGUGCUCUCAUGGUUGUGACUUGGGUGGGUGUAGCAAAGUGACAGGCCAGGAUCUCACCACAUAGGAAGAACUUUGGUCUGGCCAAGACAGGGCCAGCUAGUGGCCUCCCUGCCAUUAGCUCUGUCUGCCACCCAAGACAGAAGAAGCCAACAGUCCAAAGGGACAUAGCAGCUUCAUUUUGGUUCUAGUUAGUGGUGCCAUAGAAGAGGAACAGGCAGAUAGGAUCUCAUCUAGGCCAUGAGACAAGCAAGAGUUCUCAAGAAGGGUAGACUCUUAGAAACAGGAGGCCAGUGAGACAUGGAUCUAAGAGGCAUAGCCAGGUAGAAGCAGCCCUAGUCAAUGGCUAGAAGUAUAAUAUCCCAAUAAAAGAGGCAUUCUUAGAAAGCUGGGCAGCAUCUCAGGACCACACAUGAUUGGGGAAAAGGGGUUGGUGAGGGGCAG